RNAcentral lists this long non-coding RNA (6545 nucleotides) under Nicotiana tabacum (common tobacco). RNAcentral's name for it is "long non-coding RNA (NTAB_LNC008967)". Lineage: Eukaryota; Viridiplantae; Streptophyta; Magnoliopsida; Solanales; Solanaceae. The record is from RNAcentral.
UCAGACUUACCUAAUUCAUGUUAGUUAUUUUCUUUUUUUCUUUGGGGUUUGCAUACCCGUCAAUAAAACUCAUAUUACUCUGUUAGAUGCUCUAUGGUCUUAGUGUGGGAUUUGGGCUAGAGUUUUAUUAUUUGAGUGAUUUUUGGUUUUCCUAUUAAUUGAUUAAGGUAUUGGGCAAUAAUUAUUUCCUCUUUAAUUAUUAAUAAUACUAAUAGGCCUACAUUUUUUUCUCUUAGUGUUUGUGUAAAUGAUUAAACGUUAGAGAAAGGGGUUCGCCUGGCAGGUAGUGUUAGUUGAAUGCCAGUCACGUAUAGGGGGUAGUUUGGGACGUGACGAAGUUGGUAUCAGAGCUUAGGCUUUAAGUCCCGCGUCAUGGAGCAGUGUUUGGUAGAGUCUUGUUCAUGGGUAUGUAGACGUCCAUACUUAUGACCUUGAGACUACUGAACAUCUAGGAUGUUGUCUCUUCUUUCAUUCUUUAUUCGUGCGCUGCGCUGAACCAAGUUAAACAUUGAGAUAAACUUUCGCAGAUGGCUAGGACACACGUAUCCUCCUCUGUCGGACGACACUAGAAGUUUGAAAAUAUGUACAACUAAGAGCUUCCUUGGGUACAUGGGAUUUGCAUCUCUUGUUGUUGAGAUUGGAAAGAUCAUAAAUUUUGGGAUGACUAUUUCUAAAGAAAAACUUUGCCAAAAUUUUUAUUUUUAAAGAAGUUCGAGGGUUAGUCAAAACUUUGGACUAUUGUAAAAUAGUCUAAGGAUUUUUUUUCUUUCUUUUUCCUAAGAUUGAUUUGUUUAAAAUUCGAGGUUGCAGACACAACUCUCUAUUGUGAGUUUGAUCAUGAGAGGAAAGAAUUGAGCGCAAAACUAACAAACGUAAUAGCUUAGCCACGUUUUGGCUAUUGUGAUUGGUAGUAAAAGAUAUUUUGAAAAAGAAAAAAAAGCUUAUAUAGUUCUCAACUUAAUGUCUAAUGAAGUGAUUUGAUAGUAUUAAGAUAUUAUACGUGUGAUUGUGGUGUAAGAAUGCAUAAAUUAAGUGCACUGACUAGAAGUAUAAUAGUGGCACUAAGUGAUGCAAAACCUAUUAAUGGUGAUCGAGAGCUUGUAGAUAAGUGCCAGCUUGGGAGAGAAAAUAAUACUUAAGCAUAUGCUUAAUGCACCAAUAUAGUAAGAGAAUUUUAUGAAACUUGGCACAGUGAUAUGUUUAUCCAUUAAAGUAAGGGUAAGACAUGGAGUAUUGAGAUUGUCAUGCAAAAAAAAAAAUUACUUGACUGUCAUCGAGAAAACUAAUUAGUUCACACAAUUUUGUUAACAUACAUUGUGUUCGCUAAAGCAUAUGUUUGAGUAAGACGAGAAACACGUUAACGAGAUGGCAAUAUAGAUGAGGAUAAAGAGAUGACUUGAGCACUUAGAUGUAUUAUUUGCGGUUUCGACCUAAGUGGAAAAGUCUACUAUUAUUGGCUAUUAAAUAUGUGUGGAUCCGGUUUAGAAUCACCAUAUAUUUAUUGACUGGUUAUAAAUUGGUACGAUUGACCUUGAGGUUAUCUUUGGCUUGGAUUGAAUGACUUAAUGUUAUCCUAAGCUUAGUUUACAUGACAAGACUAUUGGAUGUUUCAUUCCAGUUGAGGAUAGUAGUGAAUAUAAAGGAGUCACUUGGUAUGCUUAUAGGCUAAGCUACCCUAUCAAUAAAAGUUCUAUAUAUAUAGUAAGUGAAAAGUAUGUGUUAUAUCUAAGUAUAACUUGGGGCACCAAGGGUGAGAAACUGAUUAUUAAGUUAGUUUUAUUAGUUAAUGAGUCCUCGAAUGUGUUUUUAGAGAGCCUACCGAGUAUACCAUUUAAUAUGGAGAGAGAUUUGAGUAGCGACGUACUGCAAAACGAAAAAAAAUUGCUAGUCUAUUUUCGUUAUAUGGACUGGCUUUAUGGAGUCAAAGUAACUAAAAUAACAAGAUGCAGGACUUUGUGAUUAAGAAGUCACCAAACCAAGUAUAUCACUUUGAGGUGCUUAGUUCUGUCCAUUGAGAGGAUCAGUAGACUAUACAUAUAUUCAUCAAUAAUAGACAUAUGACUUAUAUUGGCAUAAAGGGGAAAGUAUCGUUUCAUGCUUAGAUGAUUUGUAUCUUCACUUAUAGGUUAUCUUUUAUUUUAAGAUAGAUUUGUGAUUGUGACAUUAUAAGUGGAAGGUAAAUGAGUUGGAUAAUCUGAAGAUAUGGUCUAAGAUCUAUUUUAGUUAGUUUGAACUUCUGAUGACAUCUCUUGGAUACCGAGGUCAUUAGUAAUGUCAUGAACUAGAGGAACCAAGUGUUUAAAUUGUUCCUUAGAAUUCUUAUUAUUAUGUUCAUUAAUGAAAUAUGGAAAUAUUUUCCUACUCGAAUUGAGCAUAUGGAGGGGUUGAGGAGGGUCUUAUAAACAUCAAAUAAUCUUUUUAAAUACCGAGAUCGUAAGUAUAAUCUUUAAUUUUUAUACUGCGAUAUUUUGAAUCAUGUGAUGCUAAGGAUGACAGGUUGAUGGCAUUAUGCUCACUAAGGCACUAGUAUGUGUAAAUUACAAUUUUCUUUAUUUGAAUAGGUAAAGUUCAUCUGUAUGAGAGUCCUAACCUUAUUUGGGGGGUAGUAUUUAGCUCUUAGAGGGGAGUCCUACUUGAUAGUGAAAGGAGAGGGAAUAUUAUGGCUAAAGAGUCCAAUACGUGUACACCCGUGGUGGUUGGUGUAGGGAGAUUUAUACUCGAUGAGAUAUAUCACUUGCAAUAUUCAGUACCUUCGAGAUCUACAUAUAUGCAUUGGGAUCUGAGAAAAAGAGUUAAUGACAACUGAAGGUAAUAUAUGGUAUCAUAAAUAUUAUUUUUCAGAGUAUGAAUUGUUAAUAUACUAAAUAUGGGUGUUAGAGACUCGAGCAAUCAUCACAAAUAUAAUUUUCUCUCGAAGGAAGUGAAAAUAGAUCAUUGUAGACUUUGUAGUUGGUCUACACAUUCAUAGAGAAAGUUGUGAUUAUAGUUAGAUGAUCAUGAUAUGCUCAACGAGAUCGCAUGCUUGAUUUGCUUAUAUAACAUAAUAGCCUAUGUAGCGAUAUGUUUAAGAAAUAAUGUAAUAUGAUGAGAUGCCCAUAUCUUAUCUGUGACAAGAGUAACAAGGCGUCGAAUAUUUAUAUAGUAGUGUGUGAAUGUAUCCCACCACUGCUGUAUGUGAGAGUGUUAUGUGUUCUAGUGUUGUCGUACAUGAGAGACUUAUGUAGGGCUGCUUGGAUGUAUUUUAAAACUGACGUAUGAAAGAACGGUGGAUGUGUUCCAUUAUAGGAAGGUGGUCGGGGCGCUUUUAUGUGUUCUAGUGCAAUGGAGGCAUUAGAGAGUAUGGAUAUCCUGUCCUAAAAUUAGCCAAAUGGAUAUCAUAUAGCGAGUAGUUCAUGAUUAGCUGCUUUUAACCAAGUUUGUACCUAAUAAUAGUUACUAGCUUGUUAUGCAGAUCUUGUUGUUUGAAUUAAAUGAAGUUGGUGUAAUUCUCCAGUUGGUUGGUUCAAACCUAGUAAGUCACAGCUAUUAGGUCCAGAGUUGGUUCUGCAAGCUAUGAAAAUAAAGGGGCCGUGUUCGUAAGAGAACGACUUCAAGCAGCUUAAAGUAAACAAAAUUCCUAUAAAGAUACGGAAAAUAGUGGUAGGGAGAUCAUGAAGAUGAAAAAAAAUACUUAUUUUGAUACCACGAAGGAUUUAUGAGAUUUUUUCCGAAAGACGAUACGUUCAUAAUGAGAGAUAUAAUUCAACCCGAAGAGGUAGAACUUGAUGAGAAUUUGACUUACUAAAACAGGUGUGAUAGUUAUUCUUGAUAGACAAGCGCGGCAGUUAAGGUCGAAAAAGAUUGCUUAAGUGAAAGUAUUGUGCAAUCAGCCUAUAGAGGAAGCAACGGGAGAGUCCAGGCAGACAAGCAGGUAUCUACCUGUAGAUGUUUGAGACUUCAAUUAUACUUUCUAAUUCGUUCGAGGAUGAACUCUUGCUUAAAUGGGAGAAAAUAUAAUAACCUGAUAUCUUAAGAGUAAGCUUUUAAGUUAUGUUGUUAGUGAUAAUUUAUUUAAUUUUCACAAGUAUUAAUAUGCAUGUACAUAUAUAUUUUUUUUAAAUGAGAUUAUCAUUUACAUAGGUGUAAAGUGCGAUGGCUAGCCAAGUGAUAAUUAAUAAUUAUAUAAUAAUAGAGUGGGCUAAGCCCAUCAUUCUAGUUAUGUGCAAGACCUAGAAUAAGUGAACAAUUAACUUUAGAUAACUAAGAGAAAUUCACUACAAUGUAGAGAGCUUUUCGGUAGUGGCAGGGAUUCUCUUGAACCGUUGGUGGCGUGAACUUAGAGUGCUAGAAAGAGUGAAAUAUUCUUGCGCGUUACAACUCAACUGUGAUAGAAAGGUAUAGAUUUAAUUUUAUCACUAUGGCUAUAUUUCUUGAAUUAAUCUAGGAGGGAUAUUAUCACUAAUUCUUUUUCUUAUAGUGACAAAGAUCGAAUUGGAACAGAGUGGCCAUGGAAAACAUUGUAGUAUUUAUUAGGCCUUGGUAAUAUGAGUAGAAUUUUGUAAUGAAAACCUUACUAUUUAAUAAUGGAUAAGAACUAUUUGAGAUUGUCUUUUUGAAGUCAGAACACUUUGCAUAUGAAAUUCGUUUUAGAGUUUUGUAUAUAUUGUUAAAUUAGUUGCAUUACAUAAAUUCAUGUAAUAAGGUUUGAAUUCCUCAACUCACGUAUAGUUACAGGUGCAUUAAUGAGCGUAAAGUUUAGGACGCUUAGAAACCCUUUUAAGCCAGGCAAAUAAGCUUUGAAUGUGUGAAUUAUUAAGGGUUUAGUCGACUGUUUAGCAUAUCAAUUGUUGGAUUUAGUAUAAAAAUUCAUAUUUGACUUAUCAUAGUAUCAAGAUUGGAACUUGAUGAUAGAUUGGACUCUAUGACUUAUGGGUAACUCGAUAAUAUAAUUUGUUCGGGGAUUUAGCCAUAAUCAACGGGGAGUCGACUUUUGAGUUAACUUUAUUUUGAAUGUUUCAAAAGAAUUAUGAGAUCAAUCUGACUAUCAUAAUUGAUAUCGUUAAUCAAUACUUUUGGAUAGAUUGAUGCUGUUGGAGGCAAUUUGAUUGGUGUUCUAGACGUUGCAAGGUUGGAAAACUUUUCAGUGAGACUUUAAGCUUUGAUGCUUGCUUUUCAACCCGUUUUGAAAAUGUGAUUUCUCUGCCUGAUCCAUGUGUUGGGACAAGCAUGCGCUUGGCAGAAUCGGUGGUCUUAGACUAGCCGUAAAUAUAUUAUUUUAUGAAAAAUAUAAAAAUAUUUUAUAAGUAGUUUGAUAUUUUGAUUUGGGUGUGAGCCAUGGUGUUGAGUUUGAUACGGCUGUGCGCCAUAAUGUUGAGUUUGAUACGGCUGUGCGCCAUGAUGUUGAGUUUGAUAUGUCUGUGCGCCAUGAUGUUGAGUUUGAUACGGCUGUGCGCCAUGAUGUUGAAUUUGAUACGGUUGUGCGCCAUGAUGUUGAGUUUGAUAUGGCUGUGCGCCAUGAUGUUAGUUUGAUACGGCUGUGCGCCAUGAUGUUGAGUUUGAUACGGCUGUGCGCCAUGAUGUUGGAGCAUUGUAUAUGCCUUUGUACAUCACCCAAGCAUUGUGUAUGAUUCUUGAUAUAUUUGGGGCAUUGUGCAUGCUUCUGUGAGCAUUGUGUAUGCUCUGUUACAUAUUUGAGGCAUUGUGGUGCCGUUGUGUUGUGUAUGCUCUGUUACAUAUUUGGGGCAUUGUGUAUGUUUAGGUGUGUUGAUAAAUUUCUUUCACUGCAAUUAUAAUAAGUCCUUAGUGGGUAUUCUUGUGGGUUAAUUCUUAAUAACUCAGUUGAUACACAUAUAUUGAGUUAUUGUAUAAUUAUCAUAUUUACUAUAUCAUUCGUGUUGUGGUAUGUUUGUAUUUUCCAACACUUGUUCCAGAGGUAUUUAAAUUAGCCGGUCAAGGUUCUUACUGGGUUAUAUUUAUGUAAAACUCACUCCUUACCUGCAUCUCUAUGCAGAUACCGUUGCGGGAGAUAGAGCUAGUGGCUGACGAGUUUGUUUGAGUGGAUCCUAUUGCUGAAGUGAGUCAUCGCAUUGUUCGUGGAGGCUUUCGAUUCAGACUUACCUAGUUCAUGUUAGUUAUUUUCUUUUUUUCUUUGGGGUUUGCAUACCCGUCAAUAAAACUCAUAUUACUCUGUUAGAUGCUCUAUGGUCUUAAUGUGAGAUUUGUGCUAGAGUUUUAUUAUUUGAGUGAUUGUUGGUNNNNNNNNNNNNNNNNNNNNUUGGUUUUCCUAUCAAUUGACUAAGGUAUUGGGCGAUAAUUAUUUUCUCUUUAAUUAUUAAUAAUACUAUUAGGCCUGCAUCUUUUUCUCUUAGUGUUUGUGUAAAUGGUCAAACGUUAGAGAAAGGGGUUCGCCUGGCAGGUAGUGUUAGUUGGGUGUCAGUCACGUAUAGGGGGUAGUUUGGGACGUGACAAACUAUUUAUGGAAAAGCUUUUUGAAUGAUUUCGUUGUAAACUAUAUUGUAAGUUGAAUGAUCAUCAUCACUAUCUGUUGUGCCUGGUCGAAUUAAUAA